Molecule: long non-coding RNA, 483 nt
Organism: Gossypium raimondii (Peruvian cotton)
Lineage: Eukaryota; Viridiplantae; Streptophyta; Magnoliopsida; Malvales; Malvaceae
Exons: 3
Source: RefSeq, a predicted model, not a curated record
CAAAUGAAAUAAAAGAAUAGAAAAAGAGAAAGAAGAACAGAAAAGAAACAGAGAAAGAGACGAAAACAGGGGAAGAAAAAAGGGGAAAGAAAAGAAAGGGGGAAAAUUGAGAUUUUGAAGCUUGAAGUUUAAUAGCUAACAAGGAAAACGAGGCAUCGGCACACAAAGGAAAGGGGAAGGUUAUUGAAGAAUAAUCGAGCAAAAUUCGGGUUGAAAAGAAAAAAAAAAGGGUCAGAGUCUCGGUUCAGCAUCCAAGACAAUCCCGACUCGGACAUAAAAUUUAGGUGAUGUUUUCUUUCUUUAAGAGAAAGUGACAUGUACAUAAGAAUUAUAAUAGUUAUGUUGGUAUGUUAUAUAGUUUUGUUGUAAAGUAAGAUAUUAUGUGUUUUGAUGAUUAUAUUAGUAAAAUGGUAGAAAUCCUUUAUGGCAUUGGUACCAAAUUGAAAUGGCUUGAUUAGUUUUAUGUAUUAAUUAGAAAUGAUA